RNAcentral lists this ribosomal RNA (569 nucleotides) under Paleticus sp. ARC4764. RNAcentral describes it as "SSU rRNA". It matches the Rfam family "Eukaryotic small subunit ribosomal RNA", at positions 30 to 581 of the family's 1831-position model. Lineage: Eukaryota; Metazoa; Arthropoda; Insecta; Coleoptera; Curculionidae. The record is from RNAcentral. RNAcentral also lists the same sequence under 11 other names.
GCUUGUCUCAAAGAUUAAGCCAUGCAUGUCUCAGUACAAGCCAAAUUAAGGUGAAACCGCGAAAGGCUCAUUAAAUCAGUUAUGGUUCCUUAGAUCGUACCCACAAUUACUUGGAUAACUGUGGUAAUUCUAGAGCUAAUACAUGCAAACAGAGCUCCGACCGGAGACGGAAGGAGUGCUUUUAUUAGAUCAAAACCAAUCGGUGGCGGGCUCGUCAUCGUACAACUUGGUGACUCUGAAUAACUUUACGCUGAUCGCACGGUCAUCGCACCGGCGACGCAUCUUUCAAAUGUCUGCCUUAUCAACUGUCGAUGGUAGGUUCUGCGCCUACCAUGGUUGUAACGGGUAACGGGGAAUCAGGGUUCGAUUCCGGAGAGGGAGCCUGAGAAACGGCUACCACAUCCAAGGAAGGCAGCAGGCGCGCAAAUUACCCACUCCCGGCACGGGGAGGUAGUGACGAAAAAUAACGAUACGGGACUCAUCCGAGGCCCCGUAAUCGGAAUGAGUACACUCUAAACCCUUUAACGAGGAUCAAUUGGAGGGCAAGUCUGGUGCCAGCAGCCGCGGUA